UAGCCUCCAAUUUUCAAGGUCAACUCCAUCCAUGACAAAUGUUUUAAAAUUUUAAGGAAUGACCUAUUUCAAGAUUUAAAUGUUGCAAUAGUCAUGAAAUUCUUUUUUUGGAGGAAUUUUUACCAUUGUAAUACAAAGGUGGAUCUGUUUUUUUCCUCUUUCUUCACCGACCUUCAUACUUUGCUUACAUUCAAACAUGAACCAUGCAUAUAUAUAUAUAUAUAUAUAUAUAUAUAUAUAUAUAUAUAAAAUUUGGAAAUGGUGUUGCGGUGGAGGGAGUGGACAACCAACUAGUGAAUUGCACGGUGGUAUUCAUUUGGAUAUAUGCAUGAGAGACUAAUUGAAGUUUGGAAAACAAAGGUUGCACAGGUUUUUUCGUGGCUGAGUUUCAAAGUGAAUAUUCGUGGUUGUAAAUUGCAAGUGUAUGAUCGACUUCGACUCACCCUCAGCUCUAGCCAGUCUCCAGCACAUCAAAGUUCAGGGUGAGCUAUUAUUUCUAGCUCGUGCUGUAUUCUCUCAUUUAUGUCACGAUGUUCUUAAAUUUCGGACAUAAACCAUCUGAAUCACUUAUUUCGGUAUUUUCAAUACUUUAAGACUUGAUAAUUUAGAACAGAUGUCCUUGAUGUGUUGACUUUCAGGUUUUGGGGAUAAUGUGUAAUAGACUUUAAAGAUUGAUUUGAUUAGUUACUUGACAAGUUUUGAGCUUCCGCAUUUUUAUUGUUAUUCGUAGUUGAAGUAUUAAUAUAUGUUGGGGUUUAGAUUCCUUGAUUCGCCCACUUAGGAGAAUAGUGUGGGUGCCACUCAUGACUCGUUUUGGAUCGUGACAUAGGUGGAGAAGGAGGAGUUACAGGAGUUGUGUUGUUGUAGUUGCACUGACUUUGAUGUGCAAUUUGAGUCCAGAUGCACAAUGACCAGAAAUGUCACACAAGAAGUAGUCUCCAUCAGGAGUGCCUAGUGUAAUUGAAUCACUGCGAAAGUUGAAGGUGGCUACUGGAUUAUUAGUUGUGCAUGAUUUGUAGUCGUUCAUGUCAACUUGUAUCACGUUGUGUAAUUGUGGAUCGUAAUUGAAAAUUUCAUAAAGAUAUGCAUAACUCAAUUAUUUUGAUCCCAA
This is a long non-coding RNA of Solanum pennellii, 1111 nucleotides long. RefSeq lists it as uncharacterized. The record is from RefSeq and is a predicted model, not a curated record. The transcript is spliced from 4 exons. Lineage: Eukaryota; Viridiplantae; Streptophyta; Magnoliopsida; Solanales; Solanaceae.